CAGCGAUCUCAGCCUUCCGCCCGAAGACAGGGCUGUCAAAGGCCCGGAGUCCCAGGAACUGAGGGGGCCCCUUGUCCCCGCCUGCAGGCCUGGGUCCCCGAGGAAGGAGGCUCCUUGUCACGGAGGCUAGGCCGGCUGCCCUGCCAGUGCAGCGUCCACACAGGAGGGGGAACCAGGUUGACUAGAGAACACUGGUAAAAGAUAACCAGUCCUGUUAUUUUGCUGGACACACUCAUACUGCCAUACUGGAAGUUAAGAUACUGAAAUCUCUGGAUGAAUUGUUUAAAGCCACUGUCCUCCUGAGGACCUACCACAGGCACUGAACUCUGCACCUUCCCUGGGACCUCCCCCUUAUUCACCUUCUCCAGGAUCCAGCAACCAAAGGGGCCCUAAAGGACCAACUCCAAACUAUGACCAGUUGCCAUUCUCUCAUGUUGAGUCUUCCCUGGUAGAAGUAACACUUGGCAGCAAAGAAGAAAGAGAAGAGGCCAUCUGGUCCAGUACGGGUCUGAGGUGAUAAGGACUUCAUCUGGUUUUACCUCAGCAGUGAACAUUUGAGGAGAGAGAAAGCAAAGACCCUGCAGGAAUCACCGGAAGUCCACCAGAAACUCGAGAACUUGGCUUUUGAAGGAACAACAAAUGCCUGACACUUCUCUGGGAGGAAGGAUCAGAUUCUGACUCGUGGUGGGCCAAUACAGAAGAGAGUGAGAAGGGGGAAAAGGCUCUGGGAACUAGCUGGCAUAACCAAGUACCUCCUAACAUGAAAUCUUUUGCCUUUUGUAUGAAACCAAAGAAGCACAAUAUUUGGCCCCCUUCAGAUUAAAGAUGUUCUAUUGAUUUACUUAUCAGAGAGCCCCUCAAACAUUUAUAUUGGCAAUGAUUAGGCUAGAAACUGACCCCACCCUGCCCCCUUCAGGGGUGGGGGUUCAGA
Molecule: long non-coding RNA, 931 nt
Organism: Callorhinus ursinus (northern fur seal)
Lineage: Eukaryota; Metazoa; Chordata; Mammalia; Carnivora; Otariidae
Source: RefSeq, a predicted model, not a curated record